ACAAGUACCGUGAGGGAAAGUUGCAAAGCACUUUGAAGAGAGAGUUAAACAGGACGUGAAACCGAUGAGGUGGAAACGGACAGAGUCGGCGUAUCUAGCCUGUAUUCAACUGGAGACCCAAGCACAUUGGGUAGGCCUUUUCCAGAUUGGACUGGUGAUCCAACUGUGUCGGGGUCUACAGUGCAUUUGCAAGUGGAGUGCGCUGAGGUGGUCGGGUUAGCUGCGUGAUCUCGGGUUUGAGGCCAGCCCCUCGGGGUAUGGUACCCGGCUCGGGGGAGUGCUGUUUAGCCUGUUCAACUUGUAUGGAAAUGGUAUCGGGUCCGGCUGGUAUCCAGCUAGCAACUGGUGGCGGUCGCAUGCGACACGUACUAGUGGUUGGUUGGGUCCUGGUCUGGCUCCCAUGUUUUCCAAUCCUCGGUGUAAAAACCGGUCAUCUGUCCGACCCGUCUUGAAACACGGACCAAGGAGUUUAGCGUGUGCGCGAGUCAUUGGGUGUUGGAAACUCAAAGGCGCAAUGAAAGUGAAGGUCUCUCUUGUGGAGCUGAUGUGUGACCCGGAUCACCGAGGUGGCCCGGAGCAACAUGGUCCCGUCCUGAUCGCUUGCGAUGGGGCGGAGACAGAGCGUACGCGCUGAGACCCGAAAGAUGGUGAACUAUUCCUGAGCAGGACGAAGCCAGAGGAAACUCUGGUGGAAGUCCGAAGCGAUUCUGACGUGCAAAUCGAUCGUCUGACUUGGGUAUAGGGGCGAGAGACUAAUCGAACCAUCUAGUAGCUGGUUCCUUCCGA
This 786-nucleotide ribosomal RNA is filed under the name Rotylenchulus reniformis. RNAcentral's name for it is "eukaryotic LSU rRNA". It matches the Rfam family "Eukaryotic large subunit ribosomal RNA", at positions 344 to 964 of the family's 3401-position model. The record is from RNAcentral. Lineage: Eukaryota; Metazoa; Nematoda; Chromadorea; Rhabditida; Hoplolaimidae.